GUGAAAUUCCGUCGGAAUCUGGGAGGACCAUCUCCUAAGGCUAAAUACUCUCUAGUGACCGAUAGUGAACCAGUACCGUGAGGGAAAGGUGAAAAGCACCCCGGAAGGGGAGUGAAAUAGAACCUGAAACCGUGUGCUUACAAGUAGUCAGAGCCCGUUAAUGGGUGAUGGCGUGCCUUUUGUAGAAUGAACCGGCGAGUUACGAUUUGAUGCAAGGUUAAGCAGUAAAUGUGGAGCCGUAGCGAAAGCGAGUCUGAAUAGGGCGUUUAGUAUUUGGUCGUAGACCCGAAACCAGGUGAUCUACCCUUGGUCAGGUUGAAGUUCAGGUAACACUGAAUGGAGGACCGAACCGACUUACGUUGAAAAGUGAGCGGAUGAACUGAGGGUAGCGGAGAAAUUCCAAUCGAACCUGGAGAUAGCUGGUUCUCUCCGAAAUAGCUUUAGGGCUAGCCUCAAGUGAUGAUUAUUGGAGGUAGAGCACUGUUUGGAUGAGGGGCCCCUCUCGGGUUACCGAAUUCAGACAAACUCCGAAUGCCAAUUAAUUUAACUUGGGAGUCAGAACAUGGGUGAUAAGGUCCGUGUUCGAAAGGGA
This 592-nucleotide ribosomal RNA is filed under the name Staphylococcus aureus. Its description in RNAcentral is "partial 23S ribosomal RNA". It matches the Rfam family "Bacterial large subunit ribosomal RNA", at positions 426 to 1020 of the family's 2925-position model. Lineage: Bacteria; Bacillati; Bacillota; Bacilli; Caryophanales; Staphylococcaceae. The record is from RNAcentral.